GCAAACCGGAUUAGAUACCCGGGUAGUCCCAGCUGUAAACUAUGCAAACUCAGUGAUGCAUUGGCUUGAUGCCAAUGCAGUGCUGCAGGGAAGCCGUUAAGUUUGCCGCCUGGGAAGUACGUACGCAAGUAUGAAACUUAAAGGAAUUGGCGGGGGAGCACCACAAGGGGUGAAGCCUGCGGUUCAAUUGGAUUCAACGCCGGGAAUCACUAGUGA
RNAcentral lists this ribosomal RNA (216 nucleotides) under uncultured archaeon. RNAcentral describes it as "partial 16S ribosomal RNA". It matches the Rfam family "Archaeal small subunit ribosomal RNA", at positions 719 to 936 of the family's 1478-position model. The record is from RNAcentral.